CGGCGUUGUAAGUAGUACGGCAGCUGUUGUGUUGCGACGAACUGCUUCUCUAGUUGACGAUUUUUGCUAACACAGUGACAGAGAUGUCACAAGGCUUUGAUCGGUCACUUGGCUCCAAAAGUUGACUCACCGAACCUAAAAAAUGUCGGAGCGUGUAGUCCGCUGCUCUCUAAAAUAGCGUUAAAUAGCCGCUCCCACUGCCUUUUUAAAGGAGAUUAUUAUAAAUCGCAUUGUGUAUAGAGUUCGCAACGUACCCAACAGUUUCAUUGCACACGUUGUAAAAUUCGCGUCUGCGCUCUUUAGAAACUUGAAGCCACCGUAAUGUUCGACGACAGAACGAUUACCACUCAUUUUAACUCUUAAAAGUUGUCCGUGAAUGCGUCACGAGUUCAAAAAGUGAAUUACGCACACAGCUUCACUGCGUACGUAUCUUCAGCACCACCGUUAUGCUGCCGCCGUACUACGCGGAAAAGUUAGCUUUACAGUUUGAAAAGAGUUCCGUGACACGAUUUUUAAGGCCUGCACUGCAGCACGUUUUAAAGCACUGGGAUCGCUUAAUUUUUUGCAAGCUUUCUACUGAGCUAGACAUCCAACGAUAUUAAAAACAAGAUAUGCUCACCUUCCCUUGAAACAGAAUCGAUCAGACUAUUGCACAUAUCGGGUGGAGGACUUACUAGUGAAUACUUUUACUAUACUUUUACCAGAUCAUCUUCCUUUCACUACGGCACACAGUAGUAAAUCCUAAUGUCAUCUACGACAUUAGGCUGUCUGUAAUCAACUAAAGAAAGCUAGAUUAUCCUAUGAAUCUUUUUAAACAAUUUUUCCAGUCUCUUAAGGAGGCUAGGAAAGGGAAAUUUAUGCCGUCGAUCUAGCAUUGCAGUGGCCACCUAUGCUCGUUGUUUACAUUUCUUGCACCGCUCAUCCUCUUCUAGUUUCACUAUUCAAACGCAAAGCAUUCGCAAAUAUGUCUUCUUUUGUAUAUUUGUGAAUUUAUUCAUUUACCGCCAAAACAAGCGCUUUGUGCCUGCCGAAAUGGCAAGACAAGCGCUGAACAGAUCGCAGAAGCAGACGACAGCGAACAGGUUAUGACUAGCGCCACUCUGCUCGUACGUUCUUUCCCUAGCGGCAAAAGGGGCGAACUAGACCAGGCGUGCUGGAGGAGGGAGAUCUGUGCAGGUCUGUAGUUCAGUAGGUCGUGCUUUGGACAUUGAAUUUCUUGUGAGCGUCUGUGCAAGAAGGUGUAACCUUUCUCUAUGGUGAAACCUUUACGAGGUGUUUCUGCGUUGUAUGUUCGAUUUAAGUGGUCUUCGCUGCCGUGGUUAGUUUGUUUGGCUGCCCAGACUUGUUGCAGCCCAAGUAACAGUGAAGGGUGGCCAUCGAGCCAGGUUAUGGCUAUCUACCAGGACCCGCUGACGCUGCACGAGCUCCAAGCAUCGCAGUGCACCAGGAGCCCAGUGCACCAGGAACCCAAAUGCUUCGCAACCUGGCCGCCAGCGAGCAGCUGCACCUGCUUGACUGCUUAAACAUCUGGCAGUCAGGGCAGGUGCCGGAGUCAUGGCGCACAGCCUACGUGGCCCCCAUCCUGAAGGCCGGCUGAAAAACGUGAGCUCCUAUCGGCCAGUCUC
This is a non-coding RNA of Dermacentor albipictus, 1625 nucleotides long. The record is from RefSeq and is a predicted model, not a curated record. Lineage: Eukaryota; Metazoa; Arthropoda; Arachnida; Ixodida; Ixodidae.